AGUCAAAAACCUGGCGGACCAGUGAAAAAUCAAGCCAACUGGUCCUGCUGGCCAGUUGAAAAAAAAGUUGAGGGCAACCCCUGUUUGCUCUGCAAAGCAGUUAACACGGACAGUUUUGUGAAAAGUUUUGUGACUGUUAUGAAUCUCCCUGUCAAAAUUCUUUUGUUUUAGGUGUUGUGAUCUUGCUCAUAAGUAUUGAUAUAUCGAUUACUGUUACAGGGCCUUAGCUCAAUUGCUAUGCGCCAAGCAGAGCAAUCACUCAGCGGAGAGCAUUGGGGUGUAUCUACGUAAAGUGAAGCAAGCUAUCUCCACAACGGCAGCUCGAUUCUCUGGAUUUAUGCAACACGAUGCGCAAGAGUUCCUCUGUCAGUGCCUGGAUCAACUCAAAGACGACACCGAAAGGGCCAACAAGAGGGCGCUAAACUCCCCCUUGGACGAGACCCCAGGGACGGAUGAUGAUAAAAUUAAACUGAGGUUUCGCUAUCCGCACGACUGCCCGAUUGUCAAGAACUUUGAAUUUGAAGUCAUGCACUCUACGAUCUCUCGCUGGACAUGCCCAGAAGGAGUCAUUCUAACCCGAUUGGGUCGAUCCAGACGGCGCUGGAGCAGUUCUUCAGAGAGGAGGGUUAUAGUAUGCCUGCGGAGAAUGUGACUGCAAGCAGGCUAUAGUCACGCAUAAGUUCACUAAGCUACCAAGGGUAAUUAUCAUUCAUCUUAAGCGCUACAAAUUUGACGCCUGACGCCUUCCAGUACUCCAAGCUCCGUCGCCGCAUCCUCAUACCCAGGUACUUGUCCGUCCACUACCACUGCACCAAGGAAACCCAGAGUCCAACCUCUCUCCCAAAGUCAUUAGUCAACGGGACGUCAUCUCCAAGGCCACAACAACUCAAUGCCGAGAGAACUCGAAGGUUGUCCCUCACAGCCCCGUCGACGAGGGAAUCUAAUUGGUCUGCAAGGAGCGAGUCGUUUAAGCCCUCGCGCUUCAGUUUUGCGCCCUCAAGGAAGAGGCUGAACUAUGACGACAACAGGAAUCCUUGAGAAGAUGACACUCUGAGAUGUGCAGGAAGAUGUGUGGGGAGGCAGCCCACCAGCAAGGCCUCACCUGAAAUGGCUGCUGAAGAGACACGCGUACAUAAAGUGCCAUAGAAGCUUUACUGAAAUUAGUGAAAUAUGCCAUCAUCCUGCAAUACACACAUGGUCUAAAAGAGAAAUGACAAGACAAGCACAUAAGAAAAUGAGAUGAUGGAAAACCUCUUUAGUUGUUUGUGUUCUGCUCAGAUGUUGCCUAGCGACAAGGGAUGCUCAGUACUUUGAUAACAUCUUCUCCACAUUGGGAGAGAUUGAAAGAGAACAGGUGAUGAGGAGGGUGACUCCAGGAAUGCGGCCCCAUUACAAUGUGAGCAUGAGGCGACCACGGACACAUGUUUAUGCCAGACUGCAACACUGUACUAAUGAAACUCAAUGCAUGCAUCAAGGACAUUCACCAAAGAGCCACUGCAAACAAAAUGAUGCUUAAUGCUGCAAAGCAUUGGUUCUUCAUUUUACAUCAAGAUUUUCACAACAGCCACUUCCAGUCAUUUCCAUCACGGUUGGUGAUGUGAAACCACUCAACGAAAGCCAGAAAUCUCUGUGCAGUCAUGGAUGAGCAUCUACAUGUAUCACCGAAGGCCCAUGUCUCUACCCUAUAUGCCGCUCUUAAAUUACUGUCAUCCAAAGAUGUUUUAAAUUUAGAAAAUAAUGAUCCACACAAAUACACCUGGAAAUUGUUUAGUUUUCCUUGGCCGUC
Asterias rubens (European starfish) is the source of this 1786-nucleotide RNA transcript. It is a transcript of the gene named ubiquitin carboxyl-terminal hydrolase 37-like, with no coding region annotated. The record is from RefSeq and is a predicted model, not a curated record. The transcript has 7 exons. NCBI's taxonomy places the organism in Eukaryota, Metazoa, Echinodermata, Asteroidea, Forcipulatida, Asteriidae.